GUGUCAGCAGCCGCGGUAAUACAGAGGGUGCAAGCGUUGUCCGGAAUCACUGGGCGUAAAGGGCGCGUAGGCGGCCUGGUAAGUCGGGGGUGAAAUUCUGCGGCUCAACCGCAGGACGGCCUUCGAGACUGCUGGGCUCGAGCACGGUAGAGGCUGGUGGAAUUCCCGGUGUAGCGGUGGAAUGCGUAGAGAUCGGGAAGAACAUCGGUGGCGAAGGCGGCCAGCUGGGCCGUUGCUGACGCUGAGGCGCGACAGCGUGGGGAGCAAACAGGAUUAGAUACCCCCGUAGUCC
Molecule: ribosomal RNA, 292 nt
Filed under: uncultured bacterium
Lineage: Bacteria
Description: partial 16S ribosomal RNA
Rfam family: Bacterial small subunit ribosomal RNA
Source: RNAcentral